UCACGAGCAACCGCCCGAAAUG
This 22-nucleotide microRNA is filed under the name Murid betaherpesvirus 1 (Murine cytomegalovirus). RNAcentral's name for it is "mcmv-miR-m108-1-5p". Its record names the gene mcmv-miR-m108-1-5p. The record is from miRBase by way of RNAcentral. Lineage: Duplodnaviria; Heunggongvirae; Peploviricota; Herviviricetes; Herpesvirales; Orthoherpesviridae.